Molecule: ribosomal RNA, 502 nt
Filed under: uncultured Glomus
Lineage: Eukaryota; Fungi; Glomeromycota; Glomeromycetes; Glomerales; Glomeraceae
Description: SSU rRNA
Rfam family: Eukaryotic small subunit ribosomal RNA
Source: RNAcentral
AGCAGCCGCGGUAAUUCCAGCUCCAAUAGCGUAUAUUAAAGUUGUUGCAGUUAAAAAGCUCGUAGUUGAAUUUCGGGAUCAAUAUGUUGGUCGUGCCUCGGUACGUACUAGCAUAUUGGUUUCUCCUUUCUGAAGAACCAUGGUGUCAUUUAUUUGGUGUCGUGGGGAAUCAGGACUGUUACUUUGAAAAAUUAGAGUGUUUAAAGCAGGCUCACGCUUGAAUACAUUAGCAUGGAAUAAUGAAAUAGGACGUUUGAUUCUAUUUUGUUGGUUUCUAGGAUCGACGUAAUGAUUAAUAGGGAUAGUUGGGGGCAUUAGUAUUCAAUUGUCAGAGGUGAAAUUCUUGGAUUUAUUGAAGACUAACUACUGCGAAAGCAUUUGCCAAGGAUGUUUUCAUUAAUCAAGAACGAAAGUUAGGGGAUCGAAGACGAUCAGAUACCGUCGUAGUCUUAACCAUAAACUAUGCCGACUAGGGAUCGGAUGAUGUUAAUUUUUAAUGUAC